Molecule: ribosomal RNA, 257 nt
Filed under: Sulfuritalea sp.
Lineage: Bacteria; Pseudomonadati; Pseudomonadota; Betaproteobacteria; Nitrosomonadales; Sterolibacteriaceae
Description: partial 16S ribosomal RNA
Rfam family: Bacterial small subunit ribosomal RNA
Source: RNAcentral
GAACUGAAGAGUUUGAUCCUGGCUCAGAUUGAACGCUGGCGGAAUGCUUUACACAUGCAAGUCGAGCGGCAGCGCGGGGGCAACCCUGGCGGCGAGCGGCGAACGGGUGAGUAAUGUAUCGGAACGUACCCAGUCGUGGGGGAUAACUAUCCGAAAGGAUAGCUAAUACCGCAUACGUCCUGAGGGAGAAAGCGGGGGACCGUAAGGCCUCGCGCGAUUGGAGCGGCCGAUAUCGGAUUAGCUAGUUGGUGAGGUAA